UUUUCUAGUUCUGAAGUCUGUGAAUACAAUAUGUGGCUAUUUGGGGAAUUCGCCAGAUCAUCCCAGGAAGGAUUGGCUUUUGGAAGUAUCAGGCAGAAGUUCUCACACUGAAUUGGCAUGCUUCCUAUCUGCUGCUGGCCCUCGUUUACCAAGCUGUUUCGUGUGGAUGAAGGAUUCCUUUCUGCCUGAAUUUCUCCCCUAUAUCCAGGCUGAAUACACACACCUGCUCCUCCUUGAUCCCACCCUCUGCCAACAUUAUUUUUUUUUAGGUCAUAUAAGUGAAUAUUCUCUAUGUGCCCAGGUAAGUAUUGC
This 312-nucleotide long non-coding RNA is filed under the name Ictidomys tridecemlineatus (thirteen-lined ground squirrel). Its description in RNAcentral is "lncRNA (ENSSTOG00000031811.1)". Lineage: Eukaryota; Metazoa; Chordata; Mammalia; Rodentia; Sciuridae. The record is from RNAcentral.